GAUGAACGCUGGCGGCGUGCCUAAUACAUGCAAGUCGAGCGAACAGACGAGGAGCUUGCUCCUCUGACGUUAGCGGCGGACGGGUGAGUAACACGUGGAUAACCUACCUAUAAGACUGGGAUAACUUCGGGAAACCGGAGCUAAUACCGGAUAAUAUAUUGAACCGCAUGGUUCAAUAGUGAAAGACGGUUUUGCUGUCACUUAUAGAUGGAUCCGCGCCGCAUUAGCUAGUUGGUAAGGUAACGGCUUACCAAGGCAACGAUGCGUAGCCGACCUGAGAGGGGGAUCGGCCAAACUGGAACUGAGACACGGUCCAGACUCCUACGGGAGGCAGCAGUAGGGAAUCUUCCGCAAUGGGCGAAAGCCUGACGGAGAAACGCCGCGUGAGUGAUGAAGGUCUUCGGAUCGUAAAACUCUGUUAUUAGGGAAGAACAAAUGUGUAAGUAACUAUGCACGUCUUGACGGUACCUAAUCAGAAAGCCACGGCUAACUACGUG
This 497-nucleotide ribosomal RNA is filed under the name uncultured bacterium. RNAcentral describes it as "partial 16S ribosomal RNA". It matches the Rfam family "Bacterial small subunit ribosomal RNA", at positions 28 to 507 of the family's 1533-position model. The record is from RNAcentral.